GUAGUUUGUACACUUGUUUGAUCAUCGCCUAGAGAGCCUCUUUCGAUGUGACUAAUGCCGCUAGACCAGACACAAGAACUGCAUCAACUUACCAUUUCAACGCUAGGCUUGCUAGAGAAAUAAUCCCCGGAGAAGCGAGGUCGUUGACGUCUGAACUGAUAUCAGGAAAAAAAAGGCAGCAAUGGAUAGCGGGUGAUCGUGGAUGCGAAAAAAAAGAUACCAACUCACUGUGUUGUUUGAAGUCGGAUCUCUUCAUGGACAUCUUCUUAUCCUGUGCUGAGUGAAGGCCAGUCUGCCAAUUCAACUUCAACAUUUAAGUGGCGGCGUGCUGUUCGUUCACACUACAAGACAGUAUUCUGGGUCAGGAAAGAACACAGAUAGGACUGCUGUAUGGUGGCCGCCGGCCUAUCAUCAUGUUGUGCCGCAGCGUACAGCAGUUUGUCAUGCGCCGCAAAGUUAGUACGUGAUGAACUGUUCACUGUGUUCACUGUGUUCCGUGUGUAGAAUAUGCACAUUGAACUGUUCCGUGUGUUCCGUGUGUAGAAUAUGCACAUUUAACUGUUAGCAUGUCACAAGGCCACCUAGGGACGAGGUGUUUCUUAGCAGGUCGCUUCCUCAAGGAAUAUCUUGACAAAGUUGCCAAUUUUUCUCCUUUUUGUUUGUCAAUUUCAAUUCUUUGGUCCAAUCUCUGGCAAUGCCAUUCUUCUACUUACAAUGCAGCAACAUCAGCUGUCAGAUAUGUUGCUGUUCAUGCUAUUGCAGACAGUAGUGGCAGUUGUGCCAUCUAUUCACCAGUGCCGCCAAGAAUGUUCGAACAUUUGAAUAUUCUAGAGUGUUUUGAUUGAAAAACAUUCGAACAUUCGAAUAUUGGAAUAUUGAUGUGCAUUCGAGCAUAAUGGUUCACAUUUGAUAGGCGUACACAAGCUGUACUGGUCGCGUACGUCUCUCUCUCUAUCUCUCAGUUGUUUGAAUUUGUAGUGUACAUUAUACAACAUUAUUAUUAAUGAUUGGGUUUUUUUUCUUCUUUUCUUUCUUCUUGCUCUCUGCUGUUCUGCCUU
Sycon ciliatum is the source of this 1058-nucleotide long non-coding RNA. RefSeq lists it as uncharacterized. Lineage: Eukaryota; Metazoa; Porifera; Calcarea; Leucosolenida; Sycettidae. The transcript has 4 exons. The record is from RefSeq and is a predicted model, not a curated record.